This is a long non-coding RNA of Hypanus sabinus (Atlantic stingray), 1168 nucleotides long. RefSeq lists it as uncharacterized. Lineage: Eukaryota; Metazoa; Chordata; Chondrichthyes; Myliobatiformes; Dasyatidae. The transcript has 5 exons. The record is from RefSeq and is a predicted model, not a curated record.
UGAACUUAUUUAUAAAAUCAAAAUGAUUAAGCAGCUGCUAAUUAUAUGAAAAUAUUUCGACACAAGUACUUUUUCUUGCCCUAAAAUAUUUUUCGUAGUGCCAUUCUGAAUUAACCGGUCAGAAUUAUUUUUUUUAGGCACGUGCUUUGAGACCGUGUUGUUAGGUUAAUAAGUAACAAAGUGUGGAUUCAGGGACUGAACUCACUUCAAGUGCUAUUAAACUCAAUAAACACAUUAACAGUUUUCAACACUCCCACUUCCUCACAGAGAGACGAAAAACGUCGUUGCCGCGGCGCUGGCUAAAGCAAAAUUAAUUAAAAAAAAACUCACAUUAAAAGGGCAUUUUUUUUCAUUUGCGAAGUUGUAAGCUUGUAAUUUUUGUUUUAACUAUUGCUGUGUGGUUAAGUAUUCCCAAUUUCGAAGCACGUCUGACGAAAGUAUGAAUUGAACGUUUCAAGUUUACAUUGUUUUUGAAGGCGUCAGCUCCGGAACUUUUCCGAGAUCGAAGACAUGAUGUGCAAGAUAAUCUGAGAACUCAGGUGUAAGAAAAUCCAGUGAUUGCAGAGAGAAAAUUGUGAUCAAGGGGCUAGAUGCAGGUUAGGCAGCAUUACUUCUGGGUGCAGCCCAAAUGAGGUGGAUGGCACUUCUCCAACACUGACAGGUGAAAGCUGUUCACAUAGAGGAGGUGAGUUUGAAGGAAACCGAAAAGGUGGCCUGAUCUUGGAGAUCGUGAUCGAUGGAUGACCUCUCAUGUAAGCGAAAAUCACUGAAAUUAUUCAGCAGGUCAGGUUUCUAAUAAUUGAGUACCACAAUGUGUUCCAUGGUUCAACCAAUUAGUUGCUGGAGGAGGAGAAUUAUUUGCUGGGAAUAAUUUGAGCAGAUAAUUAAAUAGGCUCUCCCUUGGUGGACAUGGAGCUGGGUAAAAUGAAACGGUAAACGCUACAAAGAUUCAGCAGGUCAGUAUGCAUCUGUGGAAAGGGGAACAGUUAAUGCUUCGACUUCAGGAGCUGAGCAGCUGAGAAUUUUCAGCAGUUUCCGAUUUCUGGCAUCUGUGGUUUGCUUUUUAUUUAUUCUUGUGAUGUUGGAUAAAUUCUUUACAGUAUGGUAAAUCUGCCUAAUGAUUAGCUUGGUAGCAACAGCAGACACCUUUCCAGUAAUAAAUGAUAUA